This 817-nucleotide long non-coding RNA is filed under the name Pogona vitticeps (central bearded dragon). Its description in RNAcentral is "lncRNA (ENSPVIG00000003815.1)". Lineage: Eukaryota; Metazoa; Chordata; Lepidosauria; Squamata; Agamidae. The record is from RNAcentral.
AUGCCAACAGAUGAGAAAACGGUGAGAGUUUUUGGUGACUCGGAUAACAGAAGACACAUACCUUACCAAGGACACAAGAUAUCUGGUUUCCCCUCGGUGAAGGAGCGGUCAGUUCUCUAUUUAUCCCACGCAGCUGCUAUCGCUGAUCACCCCAGUGGCCUGACGGAACUAGUAAGUUUCCCGUGCUUUACAUUUUUCUCAUUUUAGGGGAGGGGGGGACACCCGAAGGAUUUAAGCCAUGCCCUUCUCCAGCAAAUGGUCACAAAGGAGUAUCCAUUUUUUAAAAGCCAUUUGGGGAAUAAGUUGUGUAAUAACUUGAGAUGGGGGUAUUCGUAUACGAAGACGAAUACCCCCAUUUCUAAUACUAACCUAUCUUUUUGUUAUGUUUAACAUAACUUUAUUCAUCAGAAUGUCUAGGAAGUAAUUCAAAAGUGUAGGUAAUCAAUAGCAGUGGUAUGGAACCAAAUCAUACAUUAGGGAUUUACUGAUGUAGACCUGUCUAUUUCAACGAAUGGAGAUCCAGCAAGGGUAGGGUAUGUUUGUGUUUUUAAAGGUAUGACUAAAAGCUGGCCAGUGCAGCCAGUUGGAGUUUCGGGGAUAACCAGUUUCAAGAUGUAAUCAACCCGCUUAUUUAAGCUGGGGAAUCUAUGAUAUCUGUGCAAAAUUGCUUGGUUUUAGAUCUUAACUUCUUUUGGAAAUUUUAAAUAACCAAACAAACUUUGGAAAAUAUUUGCGGAGUUAGGUUACUGUGGACUUAAGCCCACUCCAUGCAGCCCACAGACCAUACUAAAGUUGCAAAGUCUGUAAGGUGGUGCAA